RNAcentral lists this ribosomal RNA (460 nucleotides) under uncultured bacterium. Its description in RNAcentral is "partial 16S ribosomal RNA". It matches the Rfam family "Bacterial small subunit ribosomal RNA", at positions 338 to 795 of the family's 1533-position model. The record is from RNAcentral.
CCUACGGGAGGCUGCAGUGAGGAAUAUUGGUCAAUGGACGAGAGUCUGAACCAGCCAAGUAGCGUGAAGGAUGACUGCUCUAUGGGUUGUAAACUUCUUUUAUAUGGGAAUAAAAUGUUCCUCGUGUGGGAUUUAGUAUGUACCAUAUGAAUAAGGAUCGGCUAACUCCGUGCCAGCAGCCGCGGUAAUACGGAGGAUCCGAGCGUUAUCCGGAUUUAUUGGGUUUAAAGGGAGCGUAGGUGGAUUGGUAAGUCAGAUGUGAAAGUUUGCGGCUCAACCGUAAAAUUGCAGUUGAAACUGGCAGUCUAGAGUACAGUAGAGGUGAGCGGAAUUCGUGGUGUAGCGGUGAAAUGCGUAGAUAUCACGAAGAACUCCGAUUGCGAAGGCAGCUCACUGGACUGCAACUGACGCUGAGGCUCGAAAGUGUGGGUAUCAAACAGGAUUAGAUACCCGAGUAGUC